RNAcentral lists this ribosomal RNA (460 nucleotides) under uncultured bacterium. Its description in RNAcentral is "partial 16S ribosomal RNA". It matches the Rfam family "Bacterial small subunit ribosomal RNA", at positions 338 to 795 of the family's 1533-position model. The record is from RNAcentral.
CCUACGGGUGGCAGCAGUGAGGAAUAUUGGUCAAUGGGCGCGAGCCUGAACCAGCCAAGUAGCGUGAAGGAUGACUGCCCUACGGGUUGUAAACUUCUUUUAUAAUGGAAUAAAGUGCGGUAGGUGUGCCGUUUUGUAUGUACUUUAUGAAUAAGGAUCGGCUAACUCCGUGACAGCAGCCGCGGUAAUACGGAGGAUCCGAGCGUUAUCCGGAUUUAUUGGGUUUAAAGGGAGCGUAGGUGGGUUGUUAAGUCAGUUGUGAAAGUUUGCGGCUCAACCGUAAAAUUGCAAUUGAUACUGGCAGGCUUGAGUACAGUAGAGGUAGGCGGAAUUCGUGGUGUAGCGGUGAAAUGCGUAGAUAUCACGAAGAACUCCGAUUGCGAAGGCAGCUUACUAAGCUGCCACUGACGCUGAUGCUCGAAAGUGUGGGUAUCAAACAGGAUUAGAUACCCGAGUAGUC